RNAcentral lists this transfer RNA (158 nucleotides) under Candidatus Aenigmatarchaeota archaeon. Its description in RNAcentral is "tRNA-Gly". Lineage: Archaea; Nanobdellati; Candidatus Aenigmatarchaeota. The record is from RNAcentral.
GCACCAAUGGUCUAGUGGUAUGACUCGAGCUUCCCAAGCUCGCUGCCCGGGUUCGAUACAGCCUUUUUCGAGAAAUGUAAUAUAUUCCUACGAAAAACCCUGGGGAAAAAUAUUACAGCCUUUUUCGAGAAAUGACUGCGAAUAUCCCGGUUGGUGCA